UGCAAUCAAUGAAGUGACCUGUUGUUACUGAUUUAUGCGUGAUUAUUACAAAACUUAUCACCAUCUUUCGGCUGAGAUUGCA
RNAcentral lists this small nucleolar RNA (82 nucleotides) under Olea europaea subsp. europaea. The record is from RNAcentral. Lineage: Eukaryota; Viridiplantae; Streptophyta; Magnoliopsida; Lamiales; Oleaceae.